Dermochelys coriacea (leatherback sea turtle) is the source of this 106-nucleotide small nuclear RNA. The record is from RefSeq and is a predicted model, not a curated record. Lineage: Eukaryota; Metazoa; Chordata; Testudines; Dermochelyidae.
GUUUUUACAAACUUAGCACAUAUAUAACAUUGGAAUGAUACAGAGAAGAGUAGCCUGGCCUUUGUGCAAGGAUAACAUGCAAAUUUGUGACGUGUUUCCCAAACUU